UCCUUGUUAGUAUAGUGGUAAGUAUCCCUGCCUGCUACACGGGAGACCUGGGUUCGAUCCCCUGACAGGGAG
RNAcentral lists this transfer RNA (72 nucleotides) under Mesitornis unicolor (brown roatelo). It matches the Rfam family "tRNA". Rfam says of the family: Transfer RNA (tRNA) molecules are approximately 80 nucleotides in length. The record is from Rfam by way of RNAcentral. Lineage: Eukaryota; Metazoa; Chordata; Aves; Mesitornithiformes; Mesitornithidae.